AGAGUUUGAUCCUGGCUCAGAGCGAACGCUGGCGGCAGGCUUAACACAUGCAAGUCGAACGCCAUCUCCGGAUGGAGUGGCAGACGGGUGAGUAACGCGUGGGAACGUACCCUUUGGUUCGGAAUAUUCUCGGGAAACUGGGAGCAAUACCGGAUAAGCCCUACGGGGGAAAGAUUUAUCGCCAAAGGAGCGGCCCGCGUCAGAUUAGGUAGUUGGUGGGGUAAAGGCCUACCAAGCCUACGAUCUGUAGCUGGUCUGAGAGGAUGAUCAGCCACACUGGGACUGAGACACGGCCCAGACUCCUACGGGAGGCAGCAGUGGGGAAUCUUGGACAAUGGGCGCAAGCCUGAUCCAGCCAUGCCGCGUGGAUGAUGAAGGCCUUAGGGUUGUAAAAUCCUUUCAACGGGGACGAUAAUGACGGUACCCGUAGAAGAAGCCCCGGCUGACUUCGUGCCAGCAGCCGCGGUAAUACGAAGGGGGCUAGCGUUGCUCGGAAUUACUGGGCGUAAAGCGCACGUAGGCGGAUAUUUAAGUCGGAGGUGAAAGCCCAGGG
This 553-nucleotide ribosomal RNA is filed under the name uncultured freshwater bacterium. RNAcentral describes it as "bacterial SSU rRNA". It matches the Rfam family "Bacterial small subunit ribosomal RNA", at positions 8 to 607 of the family's 1533-position model. The record is from RNAcentral.